CUCAGCAUACCCUGUUGCAUAACCUAUAUUCGGCGAUUUACUUUUGGUCAAGUGUUUCAUAGGGUUGUAGUUAACUCAUGUAAAUCUCCGGAGAAUCCGUAGAUUUGUCUGGAAAUUAUGCCAGUUGCAAAAUUUCCAGUGCAAUCUCCGAAAACUUCUGAAGUUUCUGAUAAACUUGUUCGAAGUUGUGUAAAACUUUCAGGUUCGACUAUUCACC
RNAcentral lists this long non-coding RNA (217 nucleotides) under Setaria viridis. RNAcentral's name for it is "long non-coding RNA (SVIR_LNC004525)". Lineage: Eukaryota; Viridiplantae; Streptophyta; Magnoliopsida; Poales; Poaceae. The record is from RNAcentral.